RNAcentral lists this ribosomal RNA (465 nucleotides) under uncultured Enterococcus sp. RNAcentral's name for it is "bacterial SSU rRNA". It matches the Rfam family "Bacterial small subunit ribosomal RNA", at positions 338 to 795 of the family's 1533-position model. Lineage: Bacteria; Bacillati; Bacillota; Bacilli; Lactobacillales; Enterococcaceae. The record is from RNAcentral.
CCUACGGGAGGCUGCAGUAGGGAAUCUUCGGCAAUGGACGAAAGUCUGACCGAGCAACGCCGCGUGAGUGAAGAAGGUUUUCGGAUCGUAAAACUCUGUUGUUAGAGAAGAACAAGGAUGAGAGUAACUGUUCAUCCCUUGACGGUAUCUAACCAGAAAGCCACGGCUAACUACGUGCCAGCAGCCGCGGUAAUACGUAGGUGGCAAGCGUUGUCCGGAUUUAUUGGGCGUAAAGCGAGCGCAGGCGGUUUCUUAAGUCUGAUGUGAAAGCCCCCGGCUCAACCGGGGAGGGUCAUUGGAAACUGGGAGACUUGAGUGCAGAAGAGGAGAGUGGAAUUCCAUGUGUAGCGGUGAAAUGCGUAGAUAUAUGGAGGAACACCAGUGGCGAAGGCGGCUCUCUGGUCUGUAACUGACGCUGAGGCUCGAAAGCGUGGGGAGCAAACAGGAUUAGAUACCCCAGUAGUC